GCCCGGGUGGCGCUCGGCGGGCGGUGCUCGCCGCCGCCACCGGCGGGGUGAGCGGCCGCCGGUUCCGGUUCCCGCACCCCGGCGC
Molecule: transfer RNA, 85 nt
Filed under: Streptomyces phaeofaciens
Lineage: Bacteria; Bacillati; Actinomycetota; Actinomycetes; Kitasatosporales; Streptomycetaceae
Also listed under: 1 other name
Description: tRNA-Gly
Source: RNAcentral